CGGGAAUAAAUANAUAAGACGAGAAGACCCCMUGGAGCUUUAAGCUUACUGCACCUCUAUUUUCUAUAACCUCUUAUUAAACGGAAUACUGCUUACUUAGCUUUAGGUUGGGGUGACCGCGGAGUAUAACAUAACCUCCAUGAUGAACAAAACUAUUUUCUUAUCUAAGAACAACAGUUCUAAGAAUUAGUAUUCUAACAUAAAAUGAUCCGAUAAUCGAUCAACGGACUAAGUUACCCUGGGGAUAACAGCGCAAUCCAUUUCAAGAGCCCCUAUCGACAAAUGGGUUUACGACCUCGAUGUUGGAUCAGGAUAUCCUAGUGGUGCAGCAGCUACUGAAGGUUCGUUUGUUCAACGAUUAAAAUCCU
This 368-nucleotide ribosomal RNA is filed under the name Gephyromantis enki. RNAcentral describes it as "partial 16S ribosomal RNA". It matches the Rfam family "Bacterial large subunit ribosomal RNA", at positions 2076 to 2597 of the family's 2925-position model. The record is from RNAcentral. Lineage: Eukaryota; Metazoa; Chordata; Amphibia; Anura; Mantellidae.